This 74-nucleotide transfer RNA is filed under the name Paramesorhizobium leguminum. Its description in RNAcentral is "Phyllobacterium leguminum tRNA". It matches the Rfam family "tRNA". Rfam says of the family: Transfer RNA (tRNA) molecules are approximately 80 nucleotides in length. Their secondary structure includes four short double-helical elements and three loops (D, anti-codon, and T loops). The record is from Rfam by way of RNAcentral. Lineage: Bacteria; Pseudomonadati; Pseudomonadota; Alphaproteobacteria; Hyphomicrobiales; Phyllobacteriaceae.
CGGAGCGUAGCGCAGCUUGGUAGCGCACUUGACUGGGGGUCAAGGGGUCGCAGGUUCGAAUCCUGUCGCUCCGA